RNAcentral lists this ribosomal RNA (450 nucleotides) under uncultured bacterium. Its description in RNAcentral is "partial 16S ribosomal RNA". It matches the Rfam family "Bacterial small subunit ribosomal RNA", at positions 354 to 796 of the family's 1533-position model. The record is from RNAcentral.
GUGGGGAAUCUUCCGCAAUGGACGAAAGUCUGACGGAGCAACGCCGCGUGAGUGAUGAAGGUCUUCGGAUUGUAAAGCUCUGUUAAUCGGGACGAAAGAGCCUAGUGUGAAUAAUGCUAGGAAGUGACGGUACCGGAAUAGAAAGCCACGGCUAACUACGUGCCAGCAGCCGCGGUAAUACGUAGGUGGCAAGCGUUGUCCGGAAUUAUUGGGCGUAAAGCGCGCGCAGGCGGAUCUGCCAGUCUGUCUUAAAAGUUCGGGGCUUAACCCCGUGAUGGGAUGGAAACUACAGAUCUAGAGUAUCGGAGAGGAAAGUGGAAUUCCAAGUGUAGCGGUGAAAUGCGUAGAGAUUUGGAAGAACACCAGUGGCGAAGGCGACUUUCUGGACGAUGUCUGACGCUGAGGCGCGAAAGCUAGGGGAGCGAACGGGAUUAGAAACCCCUGUAGUCC